UGCCAAUUGGUUUCUUUCAUAUGCUAAUGCUU
This 32-nucleotide non-coding RNA is filed under the name Rattus norvegicus (Norway rat). The record is from RNAcentral. Lineage: Eukaryota; Metazoa; Chordata; Mammalia; Rodentia; Muridae.